GGGGGGACGCAGUAGGAUAGGCGAAGCGUACGAUUGGAUUGUACGUCUAAGCAGUGAGAUUGAGUGUUAGGCAAAUCCGGCACUCUUAAGAUUGAGCUGUGAUGGGGAGAGGAAAUUGUUUCCUCGAGUCGUUGAUUUCACACUGCCGAGAAAAGCCUCUAGAUAGAUAAUAGGUGCCCGUACCGCAAACCGACACAGGUAGUCAAGAUGAGAAUUCUAAGGUGAGCGAGCGAACUCUCGUUAAGGAACUCGGCAAAAUGACCCCGUAACUUCGGGAGAAGGGGUGCUCUUUAGGGUGCAAGCCCAGAAGAGCCGCAGUGAAUAGGCCCAAGCGACUGUUUAUCAAAAACACAGGUCUCUGCUAAACCGUAAGGUGAUGUAUAGGGGCUGACGCCUGCCCGGUGCUGGAAGGUUAAGAGGAGUGGUUAGCUUCUGCGAAGCUACGAAUCGAAGCCCCAGUAAACGGCGGCCGUAACUAUAACGGUCCUAAGGUAGCGAAAUUCCUUGUCGGGUAAGUUCCGACCCGCACGAAAGGCGUAACGAUUUGGGCACUGUCUCAACGAGAGACUCGGUGAAAUCAUAGUACCUGUGAAGAUGCAGGUUACCCGCGACAGGACGGAAAGACCCCGUGGAGCUUUACUGUAGCCUGAUAUUGAAAUUCGGCACAGCUUGUACAGGAUAGGUAGGAGCCUUUGAAACGUGAGCGCUAGCUUACGUGGAGGCGCUGGUGGGAUACUACCCUAGCUGUGUUGGCUUUCUAACCCGCACCACUUAUCGUGGUGGGAGACAGUGUCAGGCGGGCAGUUUGACUGGGGCGGUCGCCUCCUAAAAGGUAACGGAGGCGCUCAAAGGUUCCCUCAGAAUGGUUGGAAAUCAUUCAUAGAGUGUAAAGGCAUAAGGGAGCUUGACUGCGAGACCUACAAGUCGAGCAGGGUCGAAAGACGGACUUAGUGAUCCGGUGGUUCCGCAUGGAAGGGCCAUCGCUCAACGGAUAAAAGCUACCCCGGGGAUAACAGGCUUAUCUCCCCCAAGAGUUCACAUCGACGGGGAGGUUUGGCACCUCGAUGUCGGCUCAUCGCAUCCUGGGGCUGUAGUCGGUCCCAAGGGUUGGGCUGUUCGCCCAUUAAAGCGGUACGCGAGCUGGGUUCAGAACGUCGUGAGACAGUUCGGUCCCUAUCCGUCGUGGGCGUAGGAAAUUUGAGAGGAGCUGUCCUUAGUACGAGAGGACCGGGAUGGACAUACCUCUGGUGUACCAGUUGUCGUGCCAACGGCAUAGCUGGGUAGCUAUGUAUGGACGGGAUAAGUGCUGAAAGCAUCUAAGCAUGAAGCCCCCCUCAAGAUGAGAUUUCCCAACUUCGGUUAUAAGAUCCCUCAAAGAUGAUGAGGUUAAUAGGUUCGAGGUGGAAGCGUGGUGACACGUGGAGCUGACGAAUACUAAUCGAUCGAAGACUUAAUCAAUUU
Molecule: ribosomal RNA, 1461 nt
Filed under: Staphylococcus sp. HMSC14D01
Lineage: Bacteria; Bacillati; Bacillota; Bacilli; Caryophanales; Staphylococcaceae
Also listed under: 3 other names
Description: bacterial LSU rRNA
Rfam family: Bacterial large subunit ribosomal RNA
Source: RNAcentral